Non-coding RNA from Erinaceus europaeus (western European hedgehog), 109 nucleotides. The record is from Rfam. Lineage: Eukaryota; Metazoa; Chordata; Mammalia; Eulipotyphla; Erinaceidae.
AAGGAGGGAGAGGAUGUUUCUACAGGUGUCACAGAAAAAUCAAUCCCGAGCAACGGAUUAUUGGAUCUCAUAGAACCAUGGAGACUUGGCAGUGAAAUUCUUCCAGAGG